Molecule: ribosomal RNA, 718 nt
Filed under: uncultured Bacilli bacterium
Lineage: Bacteria; Bacillati; Bacillota; Bacilli
Description: bacterial SSU rRNA
Rfam family: Bacterial small subunit ribosomal RNA
Source: RNAcentral
GUCGAGCGGACCGACGGGAGCUUGCUCCCUUAGGUCAGCGGCGGACGGGUGAGUAACACGUGGGUAACCUGCCUGUAAGACUGGGAUAACUCCGGGAAACCGGGGCUAAUACCGGAUGCUUGAUUGAACCGCAUGGUUCCAAUCAUAAAAGGUGGCUUUCAGCUACCACUUACUGAUGGACCCGCGGCGCAUUAGCUAGUUGGUGAGGUAACGGCUCACCAAGGCGACGAUGCGUAGCCGACCUGAGAGGGUGAUCGGCCACACUGGGACUGAGACACGGCCCAGACUCCUACGGGAGGCAGCAGUAGGGAAUCUUCCGCAAUGGACGAAAGUCUGACGGAGCAACGCCGCGUGAGUGAUGAAGGUUUUCGGAUCGUAAAACUCUGUUGUUAGGGAAGAACAAGUACCGUUCGAAUAGGGCGGCACCUUGACGGUACCUAACCAGAAAGCCACGGCUAACUACGUGCCAGCAGCCGCGGUAAUACGUAGGUGGCAAGCGUUGUCCGGAAUUAUUGGGCGUAAAGCGCGCGCAGGCGGUUUCUUAAGUCUGAUGUGAAAGCCCCCGGCUCAACCGGGGAGGGUCAUUGGAAACUGGGGAACUUGAGUGCAGAAGAGGAGAGUGGAAUUCCACGUGUAGCGGUGAAAUGCGUAGAGAUGUGGAGGAACACCAGUGGCGAAGGCGACUCUCUGGUCUGUAACUGACGCUGAGGCGCGAAAG